Rattus norvegicus (Norway rat) is the source of this 1938-nucleotide long non-coding RNA. RefSeq lists it as uncharacterized. NCBI's taxonomy places the organism in Eukaryota, Metazoa, Chordata, Mammalia, Rodentia, Muridae. The record is from RefSeq and is a predicted model, not a curated record.
AUACCUGGCUGUUGCCAGGUAGCCAUGGGGGUGGAGCUGAGACAGAAUACCAAUAGUAAACCUAGCCUUCCUUUACUUUUAUGUCUGCCUAGUGAGAUGAAGGGGAAGGAGGCUUCGUUCUCCAAUUUCACAGAAGGGAAACUGAGGCACCGGGAAUAGGGUUUUCCUGAGAGCACAUAUCUCACUGCAGACCGGUCAGGACCGAACCCAGGGCUGUGCCAGGCAUAUAUAUCAUCUUUUUUUUUCUAGUUUUGUGUUUUUAUCGGGGUUUAUCAUGGGCAGGAGCUGCCACCUUAAGGAACACUUAUGCUGCUAGUAGCCAUCUCUUCAAGAUCACUGUCCUAUAUCAUCUUCCUGGACUGCAUGUGCUUCCGCUCCAGAGCGCCUCACCUCUCCGUGGGCCUCCUACAAAGUAACACAGUCUUCCGGCAAAUACCAUGAAGAAGAACAGAGGACUGUGCAGCUCUGGAGAUGAGUCUCAGAAUGGCUCUGCUGUCAGUCAUUUACCCUGUAGCGGAACUUGAAACGACUUCAGAUAUCUGGAUCCCCCUCUCGGUUCGAGGCUCUGAGAGGGACAGUGGCCACAAGGUAUACCCAUCAGUAUGGAGAAAGCUGAGAAAGGCCUUGCCACAGGCCUGAGUCGUGGCCUCCCUGGCUCUGAUGCCUGCUUCUAGUACAUCUCACGGGACGGGUGAGACAUCAAUGUGUCCCAUCUGCUGGAAAAGCAACUACCAGAGAAUCCUGCCAGGUCUCUCUUCAGUGUCCGUGGGCCUAGGCAGGGUGGGGCCCCAGGAAGAGAAAGAUUCACAGCUCUGUGUUGAUAUUCGGGGUUUGGGGGGCGGCAGGAGAGGGAGAGGGGAGCAGCUAUCAAGACACCUGACAACUGAGGGACUGAGGGAAGCUCUGGGUCACAACAAACUCAGAAUCCAGAACCAUAUGUGGCUCUCUAGGUUGGUCACUCUUGGGAACCUAAAGGGGAACUUCUUGAGGGGCCUUAAAACAGUGAGAGCGGCUACAACCACCACCAACCUGCAGGCUAUGCCUCCCAGAGCAGUCACAACCAAGAGCUCUCUGUGGUUCCUGCCUGGAAAACAGGAGUAGCAGCAGUAAAUGUCCUUUCCAGCUGUGAACUCAGAGUGCUAAGGAUGCUUGCUCUCUGAGAGACACCCAGGGAGCUGAGGGGAUGGUCAACAGCCUCCAAGUCACUUGCCACUGAGACUGCAAGACACCUGGGGUCCUGGAAGCCACAAGCCACCUGCAGAGCCUUCCCAAGAUGCCUUCCCCUGGGACAGGACUUAGUGAACAAGCGGCCAUGUCUAGAGGCUCUCAGGGGACCUGGGAACAUUUCUGAAAGGCAUAAGCCAAUUCCAUUCAAGUGUGCUUAAGGCUUUGAGACAUUCCAAGCUGGUCCCCAGGGCUCUCUUGUCAACAGUUAGCCGGCACAUGGUCUCAGCUGGCUCACCUAGGUAAUGAUGGUAAAAGACAAGAUGGUGGAGCCUCAGCCCCGCUCUGUAGACCUAUUCUCAACCAGGUCCAACUCUGGGAAGGGGUCAGCCACCAGGUCAGGGGUUGAGGAUGCUGGUUCAGGAGCAUGCAUCACAGAAACUAGAGGCCACUGCUGCAAGCUCAGAAAGGUGUCCUGGGUGAGGUCAGAGAAACCGGUCAGAUUCUGAAUGACUGUGGCAGCCAAGUCAGCCGGAUGUCAUGACAAGUGGGUCAGAAAGAGCAAGCCAGGUUGACUCCCAGGCCUGUGGCUUGAGCAGUGUACAUCUGACUCUCUGUGUAACUCAAGUUACUUAAGCCUGCAUUGAUUUGUUUUAGUGUGAGUUAAUAUAUGGACAUCAAUUAGAACAUUAAUUAGAGCCAAGUAGGUACUCAAUAAACAGACUGUUGUUAACCUCGUUGUUAGGAGGAAGCCACAGAUGGAUGGAUGGAUGG